AGAAAUUUGUUGAUUUCUUCAAGUUUUGGAUUAAUCUGCUGCUGAUUGUUUCAGGAAGUUGCUUCUGGCGAUAUUCCCUACUCCGAGUUACGAAUGUCAGAAAAAGCAGAGCUUGCAGCGGUGAGGGCGUACUUUGGAGUGCCGUGGCCGCAACGUAAUGAGGGAUUAUCCUACCAUGACAUCGUCCGACCCACCGAUGCUGGUCUUACAUUGAUCGAAUUCUACUUUAGGAAGUACAAAAAUUCAGCUCCUUUACAAGGUUGGUUGCAGAGAAUUCAAA
RNAcentral lists this unclassified non-coding RNA (280 nucleotides) under Hevea brasiliensis (rubber tree). Lineage: Eukaryota; Viridiplantae; Streptophyta; Magnoliopsida; Malpighiales; Euphorbiaceae. The record is from RNAcentral.